This 262-nucleotide long non-coding RNA is filed under the name Elaeis guineensis (African oil palm). Its description in RNAcentral is "long non-coding RNA (EGUI_LNC042454)". The record is from RNAcentral. Lineage: Eukaryota; Viridiplantae; Streptophyta; Magnoliopsida; Arecales; Arecaceae.
GGGGUCACUUAAUUUGUUGGAAAGAUUUUGGUUGAUUUCCUGUAUAGAAUCAAUUGGAUUGAUUGUGAGCCCACUAAAAUAAUCAGUUGGGUUGAUUGUAGGUACUGGGUUUGGUCCCAAACCACUACAAAACUCUGUGUUUGUGUGUGCUUUUGCUUAUUGCUAUUUUGUUCUUAUUUAUUUCAGCAUACUUUCUAUUUUAAUUCAUUGUUUCCACUGCAUGCUUACUUAGUUUAUUAUAAUUAAGCACAUAUCAGGUUUA